CGCGGUAAGACGUAGGGGGCAAGCGUUGUCCGGGAAUUACUGGGCGUAAAGGGCGUGUAGGCGGUGCUUCACGUAGCGGUUUUCAGCCGUCGGCCCACCCGACGGAGGGCGGCUAAACGGGAGCGCUGGAGGGCAGGAGAGGUGCACGGAAUUCCUGGUGGAGCGGUGAAAUGCGUAGAGAUCAGGAAGAACACCCGUGGCGAAGGCGGUGCACUGGCCUGGCCCUGACGCUGAGGCGCGACAGCGUGGGGAGCGAACGGGAUUAGAUACCCCGGUAGUCCACGCCGUAAACGAUGGAUACUAGGUGUCGCGGGGGUCCACCCGGCGGUGCCGGAGCUAACGCACUAAGUAUCCCGCCUGGGGAGUACGGCCGCAAGGUUGAAACUCAAAGGAAUUGACGGGGGCCCGCACAAGCAGUGGAGCAUGUGGUUUAAUUCGACGCAACGCGCAGAACCUUACCAGGACUAGACGGGAUCGUGAGCGCCGCGAAAGCGGCGGGCCCUUCGGGGAGCGAUCGUCAGGUGCUGCAUGGUUGUCGUCAGCUCGUGUCGUGAGAUGUUGGGUUAAGUCCCGCAACGAGCGCAACCCUCGUCGCGUGUUGCCAGCGGUUCGGCCGGGCACUCACGCGAGACUGCCGGUGACAAACCGGAGGAAGGUGGGGAUGACGUCAAAUCCGCAUGGCCUUUAUGUCCUGGGCCACACACGUGCUACAAUGGCGCCGACAACGGGCCGCGACCUCGCGAGGGGCAGCGAAUCCUUCAAACGGCGUCUCAGUUCGGAUUGCAGGCUGCAACCCGCCUGCAUGAAGCCGGAAUUGCUAGUAAUCGCGGAUCAGCAUGCCGCGGUGAAUUCGUUCCCGGGCCUUGUACACACCGCCCGUCACACCACGAGAGUUGGCCACACCCGAAGC
Molecule: ribosomal RNA, 910 nt
Filed under: uncultured bacterium
Lineage: Bacteria
Description: bacterial SSU rRNA
Rfam family: Bacterial small subunit ribosomal RNA
Source: RNAcentral